RNAcentral lists this ribosomal RNA (433 nucleotides) under uncultured bacterium. RNAcentral describes it as "partial 16S ribosomal RNA". It matches the Rfam family "Bacterial small subunit ribosomal RNA", at positions 29 to 507 of the family's 1533-position model. The record is from RNAcentral.
AACGAACGCUGGCGGCAUGCCUAACACAUGCAAGUCGAACGAGACCUUCGGGUCUAGUGGCGCACGGGUGCGUAACGCGUGGGAACCUGCCCUUAGGUUCGGAAUAACUCCCCGAAAGGGGUGCUAAUACCGGAUAAUGUCUUCGGACCAAAGAUUUAUCGCCUUUGGAUGGGCCCGCGUUGGAUUAGCUAGUUGGUAGGGUAAAAUCCUACCAAGGCGACGAUCCAUAGCUGGUCUGAGAGGAUGAUCAGCCACACUGGGACUGAGACACGGCCCAGACUCCUACGGGAGGCAGCAGUGGGGAAUAUUGGAAAAUGGGAGAAAGCCUGAUCCAGCAAUGCCGCGUGAGUGAUGAAAGCCUUAGGGUUGUAAAGCUCUUUUACCCGGGAUGAUAAUGACAGUACCGGGAGAAUAAGCUCCGGCUAACUCCGUG